This is an unclassified non-coding RNA of Actinia tenebrosa (Australian red waratah sea anemone), 3920 nucleotides long. The record is from RefSeq and is a predicted model, not a curated record. Lineage: Eukaryota; Metazoa; Cnidaria; Anthozoa; Actiniaria; Actiniidae.
UGGCGCGCGACUUGAGCUUCGUGUCUCCGAUGAUUUUUCUCGAAGAAAAUGGUCGUCCUAUGGAGUUUUAUAUUAAGCCUUGUAGUUUGAAAAAGAAGCUACUACCUAUUAUUGAGAUUGGCGGCGGGACGCUCACUAGCGAACUAUCUACCUCAGAAACAGUUAUUAAGCUCACUGAUCCUAAAAAUCCAGUUGAAGGGUUUGUGUCUUCAGAUUUCAUUUUUGAUAGCGUAGAAAAAAAGUUUCUCCAGGAUAUCGAAGAUUAUAGAAUAAAGAGCAAAAAGAAAAAGGAUGCAGAGAAGGUGGUAAGACAGCAAGAUAAUGAAAAUGACUCGAACACUGUCAAUAAGCGAUCAAAUCGUAUAAUAGAGGUGGUGAGAUAUAAAGAAUUAUCUAACGAAGAUGAAAAACCAGGCUCUGCCAAGAAGAAGAAUAAAAAGAAACGAUUAAAGUAUACAGCUCAUGAUGACAAAGCAAUAUUAGAUUAUAUUGAGAAAGAGAAUGCAAAUAAAUUUAGGGUUCAAGGCAACUCACUAUGGAAAUCCAUGGCCUAUAAUAAAGUUACUAAUCACACUUGGCAGUCAAUGCGUAAACAUUACCUUGAGUUUCUUCAUGGAAAGAGAAAAAAGUGCCCAAAAGGCCAAAAAACUCUGGAAACAUACUCAGCAGGCAAAAGAAUGAGUUCUGCUCAAGGAUCUGAGUCUCCUAGAAAGAAGUCAAAGAGAUCAGGAUCCCAUUUGUCAAGGAAAGAAGAUUCUACUGAUUCAGAUAGUGACGUUGAAAUCAAUCUAUUAACUCCCCGACGAAGAAAAGAAAAUGCUGUCACAAGUGCUCAGCGUAAGGCAUCAGGCUCUAAUAAUGACAGUGAUGACCAACUACGUCAGAAAGCACUGGAAUCUGAUUAUGAUAGUGACGACGAACCACCUCAGAAAGCAAUGGAAUCUGAUGACGACACUGAUGACCAGCCACCGCGUCAAAUACCUGCAACAAGGUCUAAGCAGAAAUCAUCAGGCUCCACUGACGACCAGUCUUUGGAUAUACGUACUCUAACCAGAAGAAAUAAAAAACUAAUCGAAUCAGAUAAAGACACUGUUGAACAGACGUCAGGUAGACGAGCCAUAACCAGGCGUCAACUAAAAGCAUUAGACUCCAAUGACGACACUGACGACACUGAUGACCAGUCUUUGGCUCAACGUGCUUUAAACAGAAACCAUAAAAAACAAAUCGAAUCAGAUAAAGACACUGUUGAACAGACGUCAGGUAGACGAGCUAUAACCAGGCGUCAACAAAAAGCAUUAGACUCCAAUGACGACACUGACGAACAGCCUCUGGAACGGCGAGGUAUGACUAGAAGGCGCAAAAGGGUCAUGAAAUCAGAUGCUGGCCCAGAGGUUCAAGGCGUGACUAAAAGACAAGUAGAGAAUAAGCUAUCAGAAAGUGAAUCGGAUGACCACUCAUUGCCAGACAACAGCUUUGAUGUAUAUAGCCAGCAAGUGGCUCGACAAGUGACUCCAGUGUUUCGAUUGAAAGACAAGGACAAACAGGGAAGCCCCUUAACGAAGCGUCGAUAUCCAACCAGGACCAGGACCAGUGACAGUGCGGGCAGUGUCCCUUCUCCCAAAGGAAAAGCUAUAACCCGAAACACGGUCUCGGGUAUGGACCCCGAAAUUCGUGUCACCAUGGCAACAGACCACCAAGAUGUCAUCGAGUGGGACAGUGACACAGAUGACUUCGAUCAGAGAUUAUUAUCCGUAGCUAAAAAGGCUUCUUUUAGCCGUAGUCAUCAGGAAUCGCAUGAUAACGAUGAUAAAGGGUCUGAAGAUGAGACGUCCGCGAAAGAUACCCAGGAAGAUGAUGAGGAUGAAUUUAUUUUUAGACGACAAAACAGGAGAAAAAGAACGACAAGAAAUAACAAUCAGAGAAAAUCAAGUCUGGAAGAAAAGGGGUCAGAUAAUCGUGAGAAAACAUUUACGAUAGUCACAAGAGGGCAGUCCUCAACUGAAAAAUCUCCAACGGCGGCCCGAGUAAAUUCUGAAGCCCGAGUGAACUCCACAGCGUCACCUUCAAAAUCACCGCGACGAGGGAGAAAAACAGAGAUGRCACAGGAAACAUGCAGUAGAAACUUGUUUUGUGAUGACGACGACGAAGAAUCAACACCACGCCGGACAAAGGGGAAGACUAGGAAAGAUACGGAAUCAACUGUUACGGCCAAGACCCCUGAUCAUGGUAUCAUGUGGAAUUAUGUGGAGAAGAUGUCUGAGAAUUAUCUGAAGGUUGAGAGAUUGCCAUGCACCCAGGGGAUGACACGGGCACAGCUGUUACAUGCACUGUUUGUGUCGGAUGGUACUCUUGAAGAUACAGAAAACUACGUAAAGACAGGAAAACUCGCCAACGGAGCAAGUCCUUGGUCUAAAGCAGAAAACGAUGCCAUACUCGGUAACGAGAGAGAGGCCGUUAACACCAUUAUCAAGAAGAGAGGACGAAACAGUGUGUCAGAGCGAGGGUCUUUCCUCCGUGGCUGCAGAUAGGCUCCAUGCAUGAAACCUCCUUUUUGCAGCGACGUCAUUCUACAUCACUAUGUUAUGAGCUGGACGUGAAUGGGAAAUCCUUUAUGAAUUUCAGUCUGUGAAUCUAGGUGCUUGUAACAUCACAGCUAAGAGCGUAACAAUGAUCGUAGCAAGGGUGAUUAAUAGGACAAGACAUGCAGAGGGCCGUUGAUAAUAGCCUUUGUGAUCUCACUCUGAUUAAGUCCCGCUUGCAUAAAGCUCAAGAUAAGGAAGCUUUAUGCAACCAGGGUCUGGACGUCAAUGCCAAGAAGCAUGCGACUAUGGGUGGCCAAAGAUGUGCCCUAGCUGGUUGGAACUCUCCUAUUACCAACUAUUACUUCCCUUCCUUUUCCCUCUAAGGGAUACACCAGCAAUUUGAAGAAAACUAAAGAGUACAGGAUUGCGAUGAAUUUUAUUUGUCGCUAUAAGUAGAGGAAGGCCCUUGCUUCGUGCAAUAAAUAAACUUGUGCGCAGAGUGGUAAUACGAGCGACAUUCACUCGGCGACUUGCAACAAUGUUCCUCGACAAAAUUCAAUAUUUUAUCGCCCGCAUAAACUUUAAACAUUCUAAAUACUGCGCAUAUCAUUAUAAAAAAAGAAUAUUUGUUUAUAUUUGCGCAGUAUUUAGAAUGGACCUUCUUAUUAAGUUCUCUAUUGCGCAGAGUUAGCUUCGAUUUUGUGUAGAAUAUUCAUGUGUUCCAGUGGAGGUCCGUUAAAUUUCAACGUAUAUUGUUGAAGCUGGGCAUUCUUAUCUUUAUAGUUGAUAUUUGUGAAUAUUUAGACAGUGCUAACCCUGAGUAAAUGGGUCUGUAAUCAAGGGGUUCUAGGAAGGUCUAUUCUGAAGGCACUUCUUGCCUACCUUGUUGCAAGCCUUGAAUGACAAGCCCUUGUUUCAUACGAUCAGCGGCUUCUUUGAGCCCAACGAUCCUUGCGCAGUAGUUCAAAAUGAAUACCUACAGCAAAACAGGAUUUACUAGUAUACAACAGAUUUUCUUUGGUUAUCCAAUGUGGCCUGUUUACUCUCGACUCCAGAGCCCUUUCACCCUUACUGCGCAUGCUCAACACAUGCGCAGUAUGAAUUAGAGAGCUCUAGGGUCGAGGUGUACGGUACGUGGCUAUAACCCCUGGCUAGUUUGCUUACCUUUGCCCAAAUUGGUAGAGUCGCUGAGGAAUUUUCAGGAUAGUAUAUUCUCAUCAACAAACACGCUACAAACAUGGCCAGCGAUACUUCUAUGAUAGUGCAUGCGUAGUAGACUCCAAGUAAGGGAAUGGCAUUGGAUGUUGGGGGAAGCUUAUCCUGUGGGACAAAUAAUGUAAUAAUUCAGUUCACUUGUAAAAUGAAUGAAAGGCGAGAAUAGAUCUUUCAUGACAGCCA